Molecule: long non-coding RNA, 207 nt
Filed under: Capsicum annuum
Lineage: Eukaryota; Viridiplantae; Streptophyta; Magnoliopsida; Solanales; Solanaceae
Description: long non-coding RNA (CANN_LNC008467)
Source: RNAcentral
GAUACUUUUUCCCUUAAACAGCGCCUCUACUCUGGUUACUCCCCACCACGGCUUCUUGCCUCAUUGAUUUCACCUUUAGGAUGGCAUAGUUCUUAGGGAUUUUUCUCCGUUUCCACUUUGCUAAUAAACUUCUUAACAUAUUAUUCUUCGAAUAAUUCUACUAUAAAGUAACUAAUUUGAAUUUAUUUUAUCGUAUAAUGAUUGUUG